Molecule: transfer RNA, 72 nt
Filed under: Camelus bactrianus (Bactrian camel)
Lineage: Eukaryota; Metazoa; Chordata; Mammalia; Artiodactyla; Camelidae
Also listed under: 2 other names
Rfam family: tRNA
About the family: Transfer RNA (tRNA) molecules are approximately 80 nucleotides in length.
Source: Rfam by way of RNAcentral
GAAGGUAUUGCUCAGUGGUAGAGCGCAUGCUUAGCAUGCAUGAGGUCCUGGGUUCAAUCCCCAGUACUUCCA